GUGGCCACCAGGGGACCCCGUGUCAGGAGUUCAGACAGCAAUCACGGGAGUAAGGCGAGAUGAUGGCGGAGAUGUCAACAGCAGAGCUGAGCUGGAGCGUUCUCUGAAGCUGUGCUUCCAUAGGAAUUAAUUAAAAACGUUAGUGAACACGCACUUUUAGCUCCAACCCCAAUUAAGCAGACCUGAGCAGCUGAUCAAGGAUCACCAGAAACUAUGCAGAACGUUGGUCCUCCAUGCCCAGGAUUGGACACCAGUGUUUUUAGCUCCAACCCCAAUUAAGCAGACCUGAGCAGCUGAUCAAGGAUCACCAGAAACUAUGCAGAAUGUUGGUCCUCCAUGUCCAGGAUUGGACACCAGUGUUAUGCUGGAGAAAAAAACAGCCAGGCUAAAGCAUUCAAAGUGGAAACAUCUGCCGUGGCUCAAUAAUCCAGAAUUGGGAUGGUGGAAGGAGCAGAAGAAUGAGACAAUCAGAGAUCAGGCAGAGAUCUGCUGGUGCCCCUGAGGGAACCGAUUUACCUAAUGUGUUAGUUAAACCAAAAAUUUUCAUCACUCAACUUCAUGUUGUUCCUAAUCCAGACUUUUGUUCAUCUUUGGAGCAUAAAUGUAGAACUUUUUAAUCUAAUCUGAAAAAUUACUUUUUUUAUUUAUAAAAUAAAAUUCACGAGAGCACCAUGAUGCAUCAUUGUUGCAUUGGCGUGAGAGCUGGCCAUCGCAAGUAUUUUCAUACUUUUGUGAAAAUGUGUUGGGGAUACAUAAUUUCUGAAUAAAAUUUUUUUGUUGUUGUUGCUGGUUUUUGUUUACACAAGGCAUCUGUUAAAAAAUUCACUUGUGUUCUGCACAAAAGGGUCUUAUGGGUUUGGAGCAACAUGAGGGUAAGUAAUUAAUGACAGAAUUUACAUUUUUGGUUGAAAUAUGUUCUAAUGUGGUUAUAAUUGGUAAUUGUUUUCAUUUUCAAUAUUUUAAAGAUUUAUUGUUUUGAAAAAUUAUGUUUAUACAGAAAAGAUGGAUUCAUUUGAUAAGUUACAAUAAAGACUUUUAAAUUGAUAAAAAAAAGUUUCAAAUAAAUACUGCUCUUUUGCAAGUUCUAUUCAAAUAAUACUGAGAAAUUUAAUGGUUUCCACAAAAAUAUUGGGCAGCACAACUGUUUUAAACAUUGAUAAUAAUCAGAAAUGUUUCUUGAGCAGCAAAUCAGCAUAUUAGAAUGAU
Molecule: long non-coding RNA, 1206 nt
Organism: Cyprinus carpio (common carp)
Lineage: Eukaryota; Metazoa; Chordata; Actinopteri; Cypriniformes; Cyprinidae
Exons: 4
Source: RefSeq, a predicted model, not a curated record